RNAcentral lists this ribosomal RNA (245 nucleotides) under uncultured bacterium. RNAcentral's name for it is "partial 16S ribosomal RNA". It matches the Rfam family "Bacterial small subunit ribosomal RNA", at positions 524 to 768 of the family's 1533-position model. The record is from RNAcentral.
UACAGAGGCCCCAAGCGUUAGUCGGAAUCACUGGGCUUAAAGGGUGCGUAGGCGGAUCGGUAAGUGUUCUGUGAAAGCCCCCGGCUCAACCGGGGAACCGCAGGGCAUACUGCCAAUCUUGAAGAAACUAGAGGCCGGCGGAACGAUAGGUGGAGCGGUGGAAUGCGUAGAGAUCUAUCGGAACGCCAAUGGUGAAGACAGCCGGCUGGGGUUUUCUUGACGCUGAGGCACGAAAGCGUGGGGAG